AGUGAACGCUGGCGGUAGGCCUAACACAUGCAAGUCGAACGGCAGCACAGUAAGUGCUUGCUCUUACGGGUGGCGCGUGGCGGACGGGUGAGGAAUACAUCGGAAUCUACUUUUUCGUGGGGGCUAACGUAGGGAAACUUACGCUAAUACCGCAUACGACCUACGGGUGAAAGCACGGGAUCUUCGGACCUUGCGCGAUUGAAUGAGCCGAUGUCGGAUUAGCUAGUUGGCGGGGUAAAGGCCCACCACGGCGACGAUCCGUAGCUGGUCUGAGAGGAUGAACAGGCAGACUGGAACUGAGACACGCCCCAGACUCCUACGGGAGGCAGCAGUGGGGAAUAUUGGACGAUGGGGGAAAGGCGGAUCCAGCCAUACCGCGGGAGGGAAGAAGGCCUUCGGGUGGUAAAACGCUGUUGGUGGGAGGGAAAAGAAGCAGUUUAAUACCCCGCUGUUCUGACGGUACCCAAAGAAUAAGCACCGGCUAACUUCGUG
Molecule: ribosomal RNA, 492 nt
Filed under: uncultured bacterium
Lineage: Bacteria
Description: partial 16S ribosomal RNA
Rfam family: Bacterial small subunit ribosomal RNA
Source: RNAcentral